RNAcentral lists this small RNA (496 nucleotides) under Pongo abelii (Sumatran orangutan). RNAcentral describes it as "processed transcript". Lineage: Eukaryota; Metazoa; Chordata; Mammalia; Primates; Hominidae. The record is from RNAcentral.
CGGAGGUAGAGGGAGGACACAGAGCCGCGCCGCCCGCACCGGAGACCUUCGCCUCGCCCCGCCGGUUCCUCACCCUCGGGGAGCAACAUGGCAGAUAAUCUCAGUGAUACCUUGAAGAAGCUGAAGAUAACAGCUGUUGACAAGACUGAGGAUAGUUUAGAAGGAUGCUUGGAUUGUCUGCUUCAAGCCCUGGCUCAAAAUAAUACGGAAACAAGUGAAAAAAUCCAAGCAAGUGGAAUACUUCAGCUGUUUGCAAGUCUGUUGACUCCACAGUCUUCCUGCAAAGCCAAAGUAGCUAACAUCAUAGCAGAAGUAGCCAAAAAUGGUGAGGUUUACCUCAACAACUUUUCUGCUGGGAACAUCUUCAGUUUUACAUCUUACUUAGUUUAUGCGAAUUCCAUGUGUGGAUGCUGGAUUGAUUUCACCACUGGUGCAGCUGCUAAAUAGCAAAGACCAGGAAGUGCUGCUUCAAACGGGCAGGGCUCUAGGAAACAUA